GGGACCGCGGCGCUUCCGGCGAAUGGCGGGACUGCAGGUGUCCCCACUCCUGGUGCUUCUGCAAGGCACAGCAAGGAGAGCCCCCAGGCCUGGGUCUCCAGAACACCAUGGAGAGGGCUACCCUGAUGGACACACACACAGGCCACACGGGGGCACCCAGAGCCCGGGCUUCUGUCUCCCGCUCUCCUGAGCCUGAGGGUAGAGGCUCAGGCUACCCCGGAGUCCCAGCAGAAGGACCAGAGGCGCCGGGUGCUGGGGAGAGCUGGGCAGGAGCGGCACAGGUGUCUGCUGCAGGCUGUUACUGUCAGCGCUGCCGUGACCCCGCCGGCCACCACCCUGUCCACUCUCAUGCGGCUGUGUACCAUCCAAGCUUCCUUAGGCCUCCAGUCACACGUCUCUGACCCUCUUUUCCAGCCCCCCUGGCACAGGCAUCAGGCGGCAGCCAGGCUUCUGGCUGUGCUGCUUCAGUGGCAGAGCGAGGGGCUCAGAGCACGAAGCCAACGCCAAAGCAGGAGGCUUUGGAAGAAGAAGGGGCAUGCCAUGGAGAGAG
Long non-coding RNA from Zalophus californianus (California sea lion), 550 nucleotides. RefSeq lists it as uncharacterized. Lineage: Eukaryota; Metazoa; Chordata; Mammalia; Carnivora; Otariidae. The record is from RefSeq and is a predicted model, not a curated record. The transcript is spliced from 3 exons.